Molecule: ribosomal RNA, 471 nt
Filed under: Dothideomycetes sp. HGUP1613
Lineage: Eukaryota; Fungi; Ascomycota; Dothideomycetes
Description: eukaryotic LSU rRNA
Rfam family: 5.8S ribosomal RNA (bases 118-271)
Source: RNAcentral
UUUGUUGUCCGACUCUGUUGCCUCCGGGGCGACCCUGCCUUCGGGCGGGGGCUCCGGGUGGACACUUCAAACUCUUGCGUAACUUUGCAGUCUGAGUAAACUUAAUUAAUAAAUUAAAACUUUUAACAACGGAUCUCUUGGUUCUGGCAUCGAUGAAGAACGCAGCGAAAUGCGAUAAGUAAUGUGAAUUGCAGAAUUCAGUGAAUCAUCGAAUCUUUGAACGCACAUUGCGCCCCCUGGUAUUCCGGGGGGCAUGCCUGUUCGAGCGUCAUUUCACCACUCAAGCCUCGCUUGGUAUUGGGCAACGCGGUCCGCCGCGUGCCUCAAAUCGACCGGCUGGGUCUUCUGUCCCCUAAGCGUUGUGGAAACUAUUCGCUAAAGGGUGCUCGGGAGGCUACGCCGUAAAACAAACCCAUUUCUAAGGUUGACCUCGGAUCAGGUAGGGAUACCCGCUGAACUUAAGCAUAUCAA